AUGCAGAGCUGUUGUUCUUACCCUAUCUUUCCACUGUGGUCCUUAAUUAGAGUGUCUCUGGCUGUGGGGAGAACCCUGGCACAUCCCCUGCAUGCCUACUCACUCUCAUCUUCUGGUGCUGCAGCGGCCCGACCACAGGUGUCGCUCCAUGGCACGGUUCCAUUGGAGCUGAUUAGCAAAGGUUGGAGUUUGAGGUGCAGACGACACGGAUGCUUGUUGCCCUGUUGGCACAACAUCCCAUUCAUGUGGCAUCAGGCCAGUGUGAGACACAUCUGCAUCUGCAGUGACCAGAUGUGGUGCCUUUGAAGACAUGAGAGCGUUGGUCCUUAAGAGUCUGUUCAGUCAUAUGUGACAGUUUUGGGCAUAAGUGAAAUUAUACUUUUUGUUUUACAAUGGGUAAAAGAACAUGUAUUACAGGUAUUCCCUAAUUAUGCAAGAUAUCUCACUUAAUCCCACUUGUAUGAUUUUUAAAACAUUUAUGAUGCAAAAAUUUGAUGUAUGCAAUGCAAAAACAUAGAAUUGUGUGUUUGCAAACUUGAUGAAGACCUAGAGGAAACAUUUAGCUCUGCCAUUGCCAACCAGGGUUGUAUUAGAGUAGGUGAACUUUUGGUUAUUGACUAAAUACCUUUUCUACUUCAUUAGACAAAUAAAUAAUUUAAAAAUCACACAAUGUGAUUUCCUUGAUUCUUAUUUUUUACAUUCCGUCUCUCACAGGUCAAGUAUGAUGAACAUUAUUCAUCUCUUCUUUUAAAUGGAACAAAAUUUCAUUAAAUUAAGCCAUGAUAUUUUAUAACAUUUUUUUUGUUAUGUAGCCAGAAAAAAAGAUAUCAUUCAACAUUUUUAAUUUUCUGUCUGAAAGGUUUUAUGUCCCUAAACUGGAAUCUUGGUAUAUGUUGGUGGAAGAAACCAUUAACAACCCCUUUUGUUGUCUAAUUUUUUUCAGACGUGUACAAAAUGUUUUAUCUGUUUUAGAUUCUACAAAAAUAUGUGGCAUUAAAUAGAUUCCAGAGAUGACAGCCUAAGAUGCCAGACUACUAAAAACUAAAUGUCUGCAAACAAACAAGCAAAAUCCAACAUAAAAAAUCUUAGAGUGCCGCAGAGGGCAAGCUUUAUUUGACACAGGCGGAAAAUAAAAGAUAACAAAAAUUUUUGAUUUUUAAAGUAAAGUAUAAACAAAUGUACAUGUGGCCAAAAAAAUUAAAGCAACAGACAAAUUAUAACCCACCUGAUAAAUAUUCACGUCAGCAACAAUAUUUUUUAUGUGAAAUCCUUAAGGAUCAGGACUUCUUUAAAGAUGUUUAUUUAUAGACAUGAGGCUUACUCAUAAAACAAGAGACAGUAUCUACGAUCAUACAAUUUUAAUAGGACAUGCUUAGGAGUUUGCACCAUUUUACACUGACUAUAACACAAAGGCUGCAUAAUAACUGACAUUUUCACUGAGUCGCCUGAGCAACCCAUCCUCUAAAGGCUUGGCAUCAGCACUCGAACUUAAAGAGGAACAUUAAAAACAAAAUAAAAACAUGUUUGGCAAUAAAAGCAUAAAUGAUGUUGUAUUAAUGUAUGUGGGAAACUCUGCUUGCAAGCUUAAACCUCUCUGUCCACAUAGCUAAUCGAGUGCGGGAGUUUGUUCUCUGCACGGGAUUGUUGCUAUGCAAUGCUGGGGGAAUUCCUAUGUUAACAUGACCUGGAAGCCUUUGUGCAAAUCAUCACUUUUAAGUUCCUUAGAGUAGUGGGGGGCAGUCCACAGCUCUGUCACAAAACAACAUCUAUGUCAGUAGGAUAUUUCCAACAUAACAUGGGAACAGACAUAAAUCCUUUUAGGCAUACAAAAAUAAUGCACAAAAAAGAGGAAUGGAAAAAUAGCUUUCUUUAGACAGGGCCAGCCUGUGCAGUUUGAUUAUGUUUUCUCCUUACGCACAGUUUUUUAUUUUAUUCCUCACGACAGCCCUUAAUUAUUCAUAUUUCGACUUUUAAAGCACAUUUUCAAUUUGGUACCUAAUAUUUGUUUUUAAAUCCUACUGCCUAACUAUUGUUUAAUACAGAAAUAAGUGUAAAAUCUUUAGCUCAAAGAGGCAAAUUCACAUUUAUUUCGAUAUUAUGUUUCAGGGCACAGCCUUAUCAUGGAGUCAUUCGGCAUACCAGACUACGCAGAAGAAGGUUGACGAAGGGACCAAGAGCCUUUUGUAGAACAGAGGGGAUGCUAGUUUAUCCAUGGAGUACUUGUAGCGGGACAUUAAUCACAAAGCUGCACCUUUAUUGCCACACAAGUCACCUGGCAUCACAAGCACUUAAAUCCUUAUUGCUUUAUGGUUAAAAGCGCAUACACAAAGACUGCACACAAAAAUAACCAUGAAGCCAAAGAUUUAAGAUAAAAACAGCAUCUGAUCUUUGCUCUGUAGACACUUUAGUAAGAACUACGUAUUGGAGGUCAAUAGUUUGAUACGUUUGUGCAAGAUAUACAAGUUUUCCUGGAAUAAUCAUAUUACUUUGGGAUUGCUACAUUAGGCAGAAGCAAAUGUAAUAAAUCCACAGACAUGCAGAUCUCAAAGUCCUCUAACUUUAGGGAAGAUUGAAAAAAAGGCAUUUUGUUCCUCAGCA
This is a long non-coding RNA of Oryzias sinensis (Chinese medaka), 2598 nucleotides long. NCBI's taxonomy places the organism in Eukaryota, Metazoa, Chordata, Actinopteri, Beloniformes, Adrianichthyidae. The record is from Ensembl.